This 511-nucleotide ribosomal RNA is filed under the name uncultured Herbaspirillum sp. RNAcentral's name for it is "bacterial SSU rRNA". It matches the Rfam family "Bacterial small subunit ribosomal RNA", at positions 125 to 632 of the family's 1533-position model. Lineage: Bacteria; Pseudomonadati; Pseudomonadota; Betaproteobacteria; Burkholderiales; Oxalobacteraceae. The record is from RNAcentral.
CGUGCCCUGGAGUGGGGGAUAACUAGUCGAAAGAUUAGCUAAUACCGCAUACGAUCUACGGAUGAAAGUGGGGGAUCGCAAGACCUCAUGCUCGUGGAGCGGCCGAUAUCUGAUUAGCUAGUUGGUGGGGUAAAGGCCUACCAAGGCAUCGAUCAGUAGCUGGUCUGAGAGGACGACCAGCCACACUGGGACUGAGACACGGCCCAGACUCCUACGGGAGGCAGCAGUGGGGAAUUUUGGACAAUGGGCGCAAGCCUGAUCCAGCAAUGCCGCGUGAGUGAAGAAGGCCUUCGGGUUGUAAAGCUCUUUUGUCAGGGAAGAAACGGUGGAGGUUAAUACCUUCUGCUAAUGACGGUACCUGAAGAAUAAGCACCGGCUAACUACGUGCCAGCAGCCGCGGUAAUACGUAGGGUGCAAGCGUUAAUCGGAAUUACUGGGCGUAAGCGUGCGCAGGCGGUUGUGCAAGACAGAUGUGAAAUCCCCGGGCUCAACCUGGGAAUUGCAUUUGUGA